CCUUCGGGUUGUAAAGCACUUUCAGUAGGGAGGAAGGUAGUGUAGUUAACACCUGCAUUAUUUGACGUUACCUACAGAAGAAGCACCGGCUAACUCCGUGCCAGCAGCCGCGGUAAUACGGAGGGUGCGAGCGUUAAUCGGAAUUACUGGGCGUAAAGACGCAUGCAGGCGGCCUGUUAAGUCAGAUGUGAAAGACCCGGGGCGUUAACCUCGGAAUUGCAUUUGAAACUAGGCAGGCUAGAGUCUUGUAGAGGGGGGUAGGAAGUUUCAGGUGUAGCGGUGAAAUGCGUAGAGAUCUGAAGGAAUACCAGUGGCGAAGGCGGCCCCCUCGGACAAAGACUGACGCUCAGAUGCGAAAGCGUGGGGAGCAAACAGGAUUAGAUACCCUGGUAG
This 393-nucleotide ribosomal RNA is filed under the name uncultured bacterium. RNAcentral describes it as "bacterial SSU rRNA". It matches the Rfam family "Bacterial small subunit ribosomal RNA", at positions 415 to 793 of the family's 1533-position model. The record is from RNAcentral.